GGAUGUGAGGGCAGUCUGGCUGAGACCUCACCCCACUGAUUACCAGGGUUGAUUUGGCUGAUCUGACUGGCUAGUUGGUUGACCCCUUCCUCACUCACCAUCCCAACCCGUUCUGAAGCUGUGUGCUCUAACAAUGAUGAUCACCUGAUAGAGGAAGAUAAUUUCAUUUGUCAAAGGUAUAUAAGUAGCUAUGUUCCCCUGAUAAAAUCUCCAAACAAGCAGUAAAAAAAAGGCACUAAAUCAGAAAUAUAUACUACCAGUAAGU
Molecule: small nuclear RNA, 265 nt
Filed under: Octodon degus (degu)
Lineage: Eukaryota; Metazoa; Chordata; Mammalia; Rodentia; Octodontidae
Description: 7SK RNA (ENSODEG00000024710.1)
Rfam family: 7SK RNA
About the family: 7SK was discovered as an abundant small nuclear RNA in the mid-70s but a possible function has only recently been suggested. Two independent studies have found that 7SK RNA binds the CDK9/cyclin T complex (known as elongation factor P-TEFb).
Source: Rfam by way of RNAcentral